Molecule: long non-coding RNA, 185 nt
Organism: Sinocyclocheilus grahami
Lineage: Eukaryota; Metazoa; Chordata; Actinopteri; Cypriniformes; Cyprinidae
Exons: 3
Source: RefSeq, a predicted model, not a curated record
GGGAGUGUGUUUACUCUCUGCCAAGCAGAUGGGAUGAGGUGGACGAAGGAACAGUUCCAUCAGGAAUUUGGAUCCGUGGCAGAGAUCCCAAACGUCUGGAAGCAAACAUUUUACAUUGGACGUAGAUAAAUGGAUGUCAUUUGCCUUGAUGAAAACAGCUCAACAUCACAUAUUCGUGGUAUUGA